CUCCCCACUCCCUUUGUCUUUUAGCAGGGAGUGCCUGCUACUUUAAGAUCCUUAUAUUUGUACAAGGUAUACGAUUUUAAUUGACCACACCAUGUCCCUUCGACAUUAAUGUACAUAACUGCAACUUAGUUCAUCUUAUCCUGUUGCCCUCCAUUUGCAGUAUAUCAGGGUUGCUGACCCAUAUAUGCCCAUUCCUUGGCCUGUUAAUGUGCAUAAUUGCAUUUGGUUCUUGGGCAGUAGACAAGGAUCCCCUCCUCCCCCACAUUUCCUAUGCCUUCCAGUAGGUUGUGCCCACCACCAAGACCUUUCUAUUUGGACAGUUAAUGUGCAGAAUUGCAGUUUUUCACAACCCUGUUACUUCUAGGACUAUUUUAUCUCCUUUGUAAUACUGCAGGGGAUACUGUUUUCCCCCAAGGUCCCUUCUAGUGGACUGUUAAUAUACAUAAUUGAAAUUGUUGUCUUUAUCAGUAGACUAAUGUCAUAUCCCCUCAGCUAACUAUCAUGACCUCAGCUCUUGGACAAUUAAUAUGCACCAAUAACAUAUCAAAAGUACGAUCAUUAGAUAGGACCCCUGUACCCUCACUGUAUACAUCAGAGGUACUGACUAAGGCCCCUUUUUUGGACUGAUAAUGUGAAUAUUUGCAAUUAUCUAUUCUUUCUUCUUUUUAGAGUCGGAUAGCAUCCCUUUGCACCCCCUUUGCAUUACUGCAGGGGCUGCUAAUGACACAAAACUUCUACUGGCACUGCUGAUGAGCACAAUGGCAUUUAGCAAUGGGUUUUUCCUCCCUGGCUUUGUUAGGCAAGCAUUCCCAGCUCCAGCUUCCCAUGGCAUAAUAAAGUAUAAACACUGCAGUAUGCUGUGAACUUGUCCAUCAAACAACGACCCAUACUCCCACUCCUUUUGCAUUGGCUCCAGUGUAUCAAAUUCCAAGUAGUCAUAGUCUUGCCAUUAUCUUCCCUCUCCAGACCACUUGCCUGCCCUUGGACCCUUCUUAUGGAAUAUUAAUGCUCACAAUUUCAGGUGUCCAUGUAUCCAGAUAAGAUUGUGCUCUCUUGCCCCUCCUGCUCCUGCCCUGCCCCUUUUGCAUAGUUGAUGGGAAAUGUUGACUGAGCAAAAUGCUUUUCUCUUGGACUUAAAACGUUAACAAUCUCAGAUGUCAUUGUUUUGCCCAUUUUGAAUUUCUGUAAUACCUUGGUUGCACUUUCUUUGGUCCGGCCCGUUAGACAUGGACCCUUCCACUUCCUUCUUUGCAUUACUUCUGAGUAGUGCUGACCUCCCACAACCCCUUCGGUGUUAUUAACACAGUAUUAAUUGUCCCAUUUUUUAGCCCAUCAGCCCAAGAUCUCCCUACCACUUUGAUGUUGUGUUUGUGCAGUAUUGACUACCAAAAGCAAGCCUGAACUAGGUGGCUGGGCCUUCACUCCUUUUCCUGCAUUUGUCAAUGAUCCCAGUUCCAAUUCUUUUCACAUUCUGGGGACAGGAACCAUUCCUACCCCCCUCUUACUGCUUUACUAGGCAAAAUGCCCAAGGCAAGUCAGACCCAAGGGAACUGGAUUGCUAUCCUUUAUUUUGGGUUUUCAUUAUACAUAAGUAUCAAUUGAAAAUUGUCUCCCCAGGAAGGAAGUUUAGCACUAUCUGUGCAUUCUUCCUUUCAAAGCAGAUUGCCUGGCUAAGACUCUCUCCUCUCUUCUUGUAUAUUGCCAUUGUAUAGUGUCAACUGCCAAGAUACAACCAAAAAGUUGCUGUUAAGUUUUUAUGUUGUAAGGAAGAUUGCAAGUUAGAAUUGAUAACCUGGUCAUUGAAAUUUUGAAGUCUAAAAACCUAUUUAUACCAUGUACCUGAUGACCAGUGUCUCUCAUUUUACUAAGGGUGGUGGGUCUGUGGAUAGACCACUGUGACUUUGAUAUUUUAGUAUGAUCAAAGGAGUUCUAGAGUGGAACUCUUAAGACCAGUAUCUUUGGGCUCUACCACCAUUUUCAAACCAUUCCUUGUUUGGGCUUUAACAAUUUUCACUUUUAGAAAAACUACCUAAACCUCCUAAUCCUUAAAUUUUUUCAUCUGGAGCUCCAACCAGCCCCUACUUAUUUCAAGAAGAUUGCUGUAAAAGGAUAAAAAUGAGAGAACAUAUGCUGAGGUGCUUUUGAAAACCAUAGAUCAAUUUAUUUGAUUAAUCUAUUACAUAAAAUGCCCCCUGUUUAAUUCUGCUAAUUUAAAGUAGCCUAAAGCACCACACUGAAGUGAGGACUUAGAAAUGAUGGAACCAGUUUCCCCAUUUUAUAUGAAAAGAAAAAUAAGCCAAGGUCUAAUCAUUCUUUCGGAUAUAAAUUUCAACAGUGAGGUAGCUGCCUGGUAAAAAUGAAUAGUGUUCCAGCUCUAGUGUACAGGGUGUUUGGUGGCAGAGAAGUAUUUAAUAUGGAACUGCUGGAGCAAAUAACUAGUUAUCACUACAGCAGUUCUUUGUAAUCACUGAGAAAGGAUACUCUUCUCUGAGAAGGAUGUCAAAAGAUUCGCCCAGCUCAGGGUGCUGUUUGCACUACUAGCUCCUUGGACAGCUGUAAGAAGUCUCUGGCUCUUUAGAAUACUGGAUGAAUUCUGAGCUGGUACCCCCACUCAAGAGGAAGGAUGGAUCGAUUUUAGGUGGAUUGAAGCCUGCCCUAGACAGCAUCCAAAGUCCUUCUGUGAUACUGCCAGUGCUUGCCAUUACAGGACCUUAAGGAGACAACAGGCUAGAGAGGAGAGACAGGAGACACCUAUAUCUAAUGCUUCAGGACAUUCUGAGCAUGUGAGACCUGAGGAACUGCAAGCAGCUUUAAGAAGCUCUACAUUCAACAAGUCUUUCCUUUUAAGAAUCUGGAUAAGCUCCAACCAAUCUAAGAGGAUGGCUUGCCGGCUCCCUGGAGAAAAAGAUCUUCCUCAGAAGAAUAGGCUUGUUGCUUUACAGUGUUAAUGACCCAUUCCCUUUGACGAUCCCUAGGUGGAGAUGGGGCAUGAGGAUCCUCCAAGGGAAAAACUCACUAUCACUGAGCAACAACCCUAGGCCAGGAGGUUCUACCAAGAUUCUUUCCUGGGCCCAGUUAGGAGGAUGAAAUCUCAAGACAACCACCACACAUCCAGAGGAGAACAUGGACAACAACUGCCACAUCUGUGACAUUGAUCAUGGGCAGAUCAUCAUUCUGGACCCUCUGGUCUCCAAAGUCUCCCUUGAGGCCCUGUUGGAGAACUUUGCCAAUCAUUUACGUACUUCAGGAUGCCUUGGGAUAGCUGUUGGACAAAAGAAAAAACAAGCUGUUUGAGAAGAUAAAACAGAGCUGUGUCUUUUUAUGCUGUGCCUGCUAAUUGACAGAAACUUCACAGCUAUGAGUGGGAAUGUGACUAGAAGUGGCACAAAGUUAUCUAUCGUCAGGCUGGAUCUAAAGAACUAGCACCCUGCGUAUUCUAGCUCCUGAUUGUUCCCUUCAUAUCUGUCCAAUCAUUAUCUUUCCCAGAAGCAGUGCAAAGAGCAAGACAUUUGAACACACCAAAGGAAGAUCAACAUGCCUGGCACUCUAGAAUUUUAGAAUAGCAGAAUGAAUGUGUCUUUGUUUGCUUAUCUAUUUCUUCCUUGAAUGUCUUUGGUCUUUCUCCUCUAACUAAAGUGUGUCUUACCCAUUUCCAUGAUUCUCUUACUAGUUUCUUCUCUGUAUAUCUUUGUCUCAUUUUCUUUCUUGUACCCAAGAGUGGUCUGUGUCUUGUCUUAGAUGUCUCUCUCUAGUGUUUUCAUUUUGUUACUGAUUCUCCUUGCUCUCCUAGAUCUGGCUCUUCUUUCACUGUUUGUCUCUUUGCGUCUCUUGAGUCACAUGCUGUGUGCCUUUUGCUCACUGCUUGCUAUGCCUACCUCUCUUCUUUUUCUCUUUGUGAACUGUUUGUCACCCCCUCCCCUUGAUGGUUUGACAUUUCACCUUUUCUGAUACUGGCCACCCUUCUGCUGUUUCUACUCUUUAUCUUGCAUUGCUCUUUUCUACAUAUUCUUUCUGCCUCUCUUGGGCCAUUUUCUCUUUUCUUCCUGCUUUGUGUGCCCCAGUGUCUCUUUGUUCUUUGUGAUUUUCCAUGUCAGUAUUCAUCUCUGUGUUCUCUUAUUUCUUCUCUGCUUUUGCCUUUCUACUUACCUUUGAGUAUUUCAGUCUCUUCUUGAGUCUAUGUCUCCCCCACUUUGAUUUCAUGCAGUCCUCUCUCCUUGCAUACUUUUUGUGCAUGUGUGUGUGCAUGCUUUUGUGUGUGUGUGUGUUUGUAACAAAGGGGUCUCCUAACCCCUUCCUAAUAGGUGCAGAGUGUCAGCUAUCAAAAUAUAAGCAUUGAAGAGCUGUUCCUUAUGCCAGGCCGCCUGUGAGAUGAUCCAAGACCAAUAAAAGGCCCAAAGGUCUAGACUGGAGUUGGACGGAAGACUCAAGUCUCGGUGAGACAGAAGGCCAAAGACCCAGGAUGGGAUGAAAAGCCUUCGCUUGAAGACCUAUGACCCAAAAAUGGAAGGGCCCAAGCACACAUAAAGACCCAGAACUCAAGCCUGUCUAUAUAGACAGAAGGCCCAAGAGAGACAGAUAUCUCCAGCCUAAAUUAGGCGGGAAGCUGGAGGCCCAUGACCCAGAAUCCAGGAAGGAUAGAAGCCCCAAGACCAAAGGAAAUUCCAAGAUGAGAACCCUAAACCGCAGCUCUUUUCUAUUGUUCUCCUCCCUACUCUUGGACAUUUUCAGUUCUCCCUUCCCUGUUCUCAUAUCUCCAUUUAAACCCACUUCUUUUGAGAUGUCAUUUUUGACGUUGCUGCUACUUUAAAGAAACACACCUUUAGAUCAGUAAUAUUAUGCCUGGGCCAGUCUUAAGCCAGUUUUUAUCGCACUUUUAAGCCAUUUAUUAAGGUUUUGGUGUUUUGCAAAGUUCCAUUUCUCUUCACCUCCUCUCCACUUGAGAGGGACACAUAGGUGACUUUAUAUUUCAGUCCCUUCUUUCCUCAGAAGCUCUAGGCUGAUGAGAGAAGUAAAGCAUCAGGUUACUGAGUGGAAAAUAAGUGCCAGGCUAUCUAGAGAAAAUGUGAAGAGAUGCUCCAGGCCAAUGAGAAGAACUAGACAAGAAAUACACAGAUGUGCCAGCUUGCUGAGAAGCACCAGCCAGCAACAUAUUACUUCUUUGAGCUUGGUUUCUGGCAUCCCAAGACUACCACUACUGCUAAAAAAGAAUAAGAACAUGUUAUCAUCUGAUUUUUGUGGCAUAAAUGAAGUUGUGAAAAAAUCUUUUUUUACAAAGGAAAUGGCUUCAUCUUUAUCCUUCUACCUCAAAGGGAAUCUAUGCCAGAAUGCUCCGAUGAAUGGAAGGCACACUUGGACUUGUGAACUGAAGUGAAACGCAGAAUCUCUGAGCCAUGGUUGUUUUGAAGAUCGAAAAGUCUUGUUCAGCAUGGGUGACCAGCAAAAAAGCAAUCUAGAGCUGUCUGUAUGUCACAACUGAGACAAAUUGGGGAGUUUGUUGUUUAAUGCCAAAUAAAAAUGUACUGUUUUGAAAA
Long non-coding RNA from Lagenorhynchus albirostris (white-beaked dolphin), 5531 nucleotides. RefSeq lists it as uncharacterized. The record is from RefSeq and is a predicted model, not a curated record. NCBI's taxonomy places the organism in Eukaryota, Metazoa, Chordata, Mammalia, Artiodactyla, Delphinidae. The transcript has 9 exons.